Molecule: ribosomal RNA, 253 nt
Filed under: uncultured bacterium
Lineage: Bacteria
Description: partial 16S ribosomal RNA
Rfam family: Bacterial small subunit ribosomal RNA
Source: RNAcentral
UACGUAGGGGGCAAGCGUUGCCCGGAAUUAUUGGGCGUAAAGAGCGUGUAGGCGGUCCGGUAAGUCGGCUGUGAAAGUCCAGGGCUCAACCCUGGGAUGCCGGUCGAUACUGCCGGACUAGAGUUCGGAAGAGGCGAGUGGAAUUCCCGGUGUAGCGGUGAAAUGCGCAGAUAUCGGGAGGAACACCUAUGGCGAAGGCAGCUCGCUGGGACGGUACUGACGCUGAGACGCGAAAGCGUGGGGAGCGAACAGG